GUAGGGUGCAAGCGUUAAUCGGAAUUACUGGGCGUAAAGCGUGCGCAGGCGGUUCUGUAAGAUAGAUGUGAAAUCCCCGGGCUCAACCUGGGAAUUGCAUAUAUGACUGCAGGACUUGAGUUUGUCAGAGGAGGGUGGAAUUCCACGUGUAGCAGUGAAAUGCGUAGAUAUGUGGAAGAACACCGAUGGCGAAGGCAGCCCUCUGGGACAUGACUGACGCUCAUGCACGAAAGCGUGGGGAGCAAACAGGAUUAGAUACCCUGGUAGUCCACGCCCUAAACGAUGUCUACUAGUUGUUGGGGACGAUAGUCCUUGGUAACGCAGCUAACGCGUGAAGUAGACCGCCUGGGGAGU
Molecule: ribosomal RNA, 354 nt
Filed under: uncultured bacterium
Lineage: Bacteria
Description: bacterial SSU rRNA
Rfam family: Bacterial small subunit ribosomal RNA
Source: RNAcentral